This 337-nucleotide ribosomal RNA is filed under the name uncultured bacterium. RNAcentral describes it as "bacterial SSU rRNA". It matches the Rfam family "Bacterial small subunit ribosomal RNA", at positions 1 to 334 of the family's 1533-position model. The record is from RNAcentral.
CUAGCGACUUCAGAGUUUGAUCCUGGCUCAGGAUGAACGCUGGCGGCGUGCUUAACACAUUCAAGUCGAACGGUGAGACCCUUUCGGGGGUUGAUCAGUGGCGGACGGGUGAGUAACGCGUGAGCAAUCUGCCUAUGUGAGGGGGAUAACGUUUGGAAACGAACGCUAACACCGCAUGAAGCAUUUGAUUCGCAUGUAUUGAAUGCCAAAGAUUCUAUCGCACAUAGAUGAGCUCGCGUCCCAUUAGAUAGUUGGUGAGGUAACGGCCCACCAAGUCAACGAUGGGUAGCCGGACUGAGAGGUUGAACGGCCACAUUGGAACUGAGAAACGGUCCAG